Molecule: transfer RNA, 66 nt
Filed under: Acanthopleura vaillantii
Lineage: Eukaryota; Metazoa; Mollusca; Polyplacophora; Chitonida; Chitonidae
Description: tRNA-Ile
Source: RNAcentral
CAUUAUGCCGGAGAAUAACGGGCUACAUUGAUGUUGUAGAACAGAAGAGGCUAAUCUUUAAUGUCU